This 237-nucleotide long non-coding RNA is filed under the name Numida meleagris (helmeted guineafowl). Its description in RNAcentral is "lncRNA (ENSNMEG00000012802.1)". Lineage: Eukaryota; Metazoa; Chordata; Aves; Galliformes; Numididae. The record is from RNAcentral.
AUGCAGCCAAGGGAUAUCUCAGUCUCCAUCUUCUGCUGCAAAAAAAAAAAAAAAGAUGUCUCUCAAGGGACAGCAUAUUGGAACACAAACAAGAACGUGAAGUGUUUUGAGUAUGGAUUCUUCCAUUCCAGUAAGGACUGGCUGUCAGCAGUUGUGUUUGAAGCACCACAAAGGCAUGGUGCUCUCUUUUUCAUAAAAUGGGAGUGUCAUAUCUCAGCACUGGGAGCUGUUACUUGA